Molecule: ribosomal RNA, 147 nt
Filed under: uncultured Clostridium sp.
Lineage: Bacteria; Bacillati; Bacillota; Clostridia; Eubacteriales; Clostridiaceae
Description: partial 16S ribosomal RNA
Rfam family: Bacterial small subunit ribosomal RNA
Source: RNAcentral
GGAAUCCUACACGAGGCAGCAGUGGGGAAUCCUGCACAAUGGGCGAAACCCUGAUGCAGCAACGCCGCGUGAGUGAUGAAGCCCUUGGAAUGUAAACUCUUUCAUCCGGGACGUACUGACGGUACCUGCAGAAUAGCUCGUUAUUCG